UUUUAUGGACCGCUGUGGUUCUGGGGGCACAUUUGUGACUACCGGAGUGAAAUAUGAAUAGUGUGUAGCUCAUACCUAAUUUGUUAAUAAUUGUUAUACAAGUAAUAAGUUACAAAGUUUAAUUAACAGCAAAGGAGUGCAGGUUUUGGUGCUUGUCAAUGUUAUACCCCCCCAAAAAAAAAAUAAAUAAAUAAAAUAAAUAAAAAAAAAACGGGUCAGUCCGGACCUCUCUGUCACGGCGUGCCCCUUCACAUCCCAACAAUGUGAAGGCGUUACUGACUGACAUUUUUACCUUUUAAACUAUUUGUAAAGCGCUUUGUCUAAGGUUUUGGUGUAUUUAUCUUGUAACGCUCCUUUUUAUUAUUUCUGUGUUUCUUUGAGUCUCCCCAAUAAUUGUUUUCUUUUGUAGCUUGGGGUGAAGAGGAGGAUAAUAGCGGUAAUUAAAGGUUUAGUGAUUAUAUGAAAAAAGUAUAUUUAUAAGGCGUGUAUUCGUGGGAGUGAUUUAAAAGUUUUGAAACAUUUAUUAUAAAUAGUCUUUACUUUUUUCAACUGUAGUUUUCUCUAAUCAGUGGUAAUACGAAUAAUAGAAUUACAUCAUGUUGCGUCAGCCUACCAGUAACUCAUAAGGUGUCAUUCCCUAGCUUAUAAAAUACGUUAGUAAUUUAGAAUUCAAUUAUUAACUUCAACUAAUGUCCAGUCUAUAUGCUCACCUUGCUAGCCAAUUAUUCCUGCAUUUUUAUUUAAACUCACGGUUCAGUAAAAUUAUUUGUGAAAGAAGAGAGAGAGAGAGAGAGAACUAGCUAAGGCUCCAAUAACUUAAGAGGCCUGUGGGUGUUGAGGGAGAGAGCACAAAAUGGCGUCUCCCUUCCCUCUGGCAACAGGUGGGUCUCGUAGCUCUGAAAUAUUUGAUUUUUCUUUUAUUUAGAAGUGAAUAUUACUGUGUUCAUGUUUAUUAUUCAUGUCUAGUGAAGAUAUAGUGACUGUACGUGUUGACAGAAUGGCGUCUCCCUUCCCUCUGGCAACAGUGUUGCCACGGUGACGGUGGUGGUGGGCAUGACACAGAUGCGGGAGGUGGAGUUUGUGCCCGAUGGAGACAUGCAGGUGGACAAAUUGUGUUGGUCAUUGGUCAGACUGGAGUUUACAUGUGUACCUCCUUCACCAUCAUUGGUGGACACUUCACCAUGAGUGAUGCUUGAGCUGUCAUGGUGCUGCUGGUGCUGUGUGCCAUCAUCACCCUGACACAGACCACCCUGCAGACACCUUCAUCCUGGGUGCCACACGUCACUGCUGCUACAACUCAGAGCAACUGGAGCGCAAGCCAGGAAGGGAAAUGUGUGCAGGUUUGCAGUAAACCUCCCUGAAGGUUCCAGAGCUGCUCAGCAAGUGUCCAGUCCAGGCUGUCACAAGACUGUGUGACAGUGGACCUUCCACUGAUACUCACUGAAAACAGCUGUGCACUGCCACUCACAGGAAGUGGUGACCACUCUAGAUUGAGUUGCCUUGAAGCUGAGAUGAGUUGGUCAGCUAGUGAGUGGCUUCAAUCAAGUGACUGUGAGGUGUUGCCUUCAAUCAAGUGACUGUGAGGUGUUGCCUUCAAUCAAGUGACUGUGAGGUGUUGCCUUCAAUCAAGUGACUGUGAGGUGUUGGCUUCGAUCAAGUGACUGUGAGGUGUUGCCUUCAAUCAAGUGACUGUGAGGUGUUGCCUUCAAUCAAGUGACUGUGAGGUGUUGGCUUCGAUCAAGUGACUGUGAGGUGUUGCCUUCAAUCAAGUGACUGUGAGGUGUUGCCUUCGAUCAAGUGACUGUGAGGUGUUGGCUUCGAUCAAGUGACUGUGAGGUGUUGGCUUCGAUCAAGUGACUGUGAGGUGUUGGCUUCGAUCAAGUGACUGUGAGGUGUUGGGCAUGGUAUUGUGUUAUUGCAAGUGUAACCAUUAAUAAGUAAGUUCUUUCCUUAUAACUCUUCAUACAUGGAUUGCCAUACAUGGACGGAUAAGGCCCUUGUACAGAGUCAUCAGCUGGGGGUGAGAAAAACUGGUGGAGACGUCUCAGAACGCCUAACUUCACAGAAGCUGUUUUAGCUAGAGAUGAAAUGUGAAGUUUCUAGUUUAGAUCAUAAGUAAAGGACAGACCAAGGAUGUUCAGUGUAGAAGAGGGGGACAGUUGAGUGUCAUUGAAGAAGAGGGGAUAGUUUGGAAGACUGUGUUGAGUUGAUAGAUGGAGGAAUUGAGUUUUUGAUGCACUGAACAAUACCAAGUUUGCUCUGCCCCAAUCAGAAAUUUUAGAGAGAUGAGAAGUGAGGCGUUCUGUGGCUUCCCUGUGUGAACUGUUUACUUCCUGAAGGGUUGGAUGUCUAUGAAAAGACAUGGAAAAGUGCAGGGUGAUGUCAUCAGCGUAGGAGUGGAUAGGACAAGAAGUAUGGGUUAGAAGAUCAUUAAUGAAUAAUAAGAGAGUGGGUGACAGGACAGAACCCUGAGGAACACCACUGUUAAUAGAUUUAGCAGAAGAACAGUGACCGUCUACCACAGCAGCAAUAGAAUGGUCAGAAAGGAAACUUGAGAUGAAGUUACAGAGAGAAGGAUAGAAACUGUAGGAGGGUAGUUUGGAAAUCAAAGCUUUGUGCCAGACUCUAUCAAAGGCUUUUGAUAUGUCCAAGGCAACAGCAAAAGUUUCACCAAAAUCUCUAAAAGAGGAUGACCAAGACUCAGUAAGGAAAGCCAGAAGAUCACCAGUAGAGCGGCCUUGACGGAAUCCAUACUGGUGAUCAGAUAGAAGGUUGUGAAGUGAUAGAUGUUUAAGAAUCUUCCUGUUGAGGAUAGAUUCAAAAACUUUAGAUAGGCAGGAAAUUAAAGCAAUAGGACUGUUGUUUGAGGGAUUAAAACUACUACUACUACUACUACUACUACUACUACUACUACUACUACUACUACUACUACUACUACUACUACUACUACUACUACUCACAUCUUGCCUGACUGCCAGACCAACAUUUACUGUGUAGAAAUGGCACAGUCUACUCCUUUAGUUCUUUUCCUUUCUAGAAUGUGCAUAUCAGUGUACCCUGUCGUGCCUCCCAUGCUGUGUAAUGCUGCAGUGUUGAUUGUGUGUGUGUGUUUCCCUCAGGUGGUACUGUGGAUAGCAAGCGGAAGAGGCCUUGGGAGACUUCCGUUAAUGAGGAGCAACAGUCACACCUCACUGGAGUCUUUCAGGAACCAACAGUCAGGGCCUGAUGUGAAGGUGUCUGCAGCCAGUGUUUGGUCUCCUCUGUGCCUGGUGGUGCCUCAUUGCAGGGCCUGAUGUGAAGGUGUCUGCAGCCAGUGUUUGGUGUCCUCUCUUCCUGGUGGUGCAGCCUGAUGUGUUGCCUGCUUCAGUGUAAAUCUUGCAAGCCAGAUCUGCCAGCUGUCUCCAGUGUAGUAGUCUAGGGUGCUUUGCUUUGUGUCUUUGGCAAUAAAUAAAUUUGUGAGUAUCAUUCUCAUGUGAAUUAUAUAGUUUGAUAAAAUUACAGAAUGUGCUUGGGUAAACUAAAUUUAUAUAUUGGUGGUAAACAAUUCAUGCAUCCCCAAGUAAAUAAAUAAAAAAAUAAAUAGGACCCAAAACAAUAGAUGCAAUAUAGAUCAUCCUCUGGUCAAAAAAAAAAG
This is a long non-coding RNA of Scylla paramamosain (green mud crab), 3634 nucleotides long. RefSeq lists it as uncharacterized. The transcript has 7 exons. The record is from RefSeq and is a predicted model, not a curated record. Lineage: Eukaryota; Metazoa; Arthropoda; Malacostraca; Decapoda; Portunidae.